CUCCGUUCUGCCUGUAUUCUACCCUUGUUUGUCAUAUACUAUUAUUUCCUCGGCAGGCUUGCCUGCCGAGUGAAGCCAUUUAUAACCUUUUUAAUUUUCAAUCAGCGUCUGAAAAAAAUUAAUAAUUACAACUUUCAACAACGGAUCUCUUGGUUCUGGCAUCGAUGAAGAACGCAGCGAAAUGCGAUAAGUAGUGUGAAUUGCAGAAUUCAGUGAAUCAUCGAAUCUUUGAACGCACAUUGCGCCCCUUGGUAUUCCAUGGGGCAUGCCUGUUCGAGCGUCAUUUGUACCUUCAAGCUUUGCUUGGUGUUGGGUGUUUGUCCCGAGGGACUCGCCUUAAAGUAAUUGGCAGCCAGUGUUUGGUUUUGAAGCGCAGCACAAGUCGCGAUUCAAGGCUACACGCCCGCUUCCACAAGCCUUUUUUUCACUUUUGACCUCGGAUCAGGUAGGGAUACCCGCUGAACUUAAGCA
This 471-nucleotide ribosomal RNA is filed under the name Paraphoma sp. GZUCCMJ2101. RNAcentral's name for it is "eukaryotic LSU rRNA". The stretch from base 130 to 283 matches the Rfam family "5.8S ribosomal RNA". Lineage: Eukaryota; Fungi; Ascomycota; Dothideomycetes; Pleosporales; Phaeosphaeriaceae. The record is from RNAcentral.